UAGUCCACGCCCUAAACGUUGAUCACUCGAUGUUGGCAAUACACCGUCAGCGUCCAAGCUAAAGCGUUAAGUGAUCCACCUGGGGAGUACGUCCGCAAGGAUGAAACUCAAAGGAAUUGACGGGGGCCUGCACAAGCGGUGGAGCAUGUGGUUUAAUUCGAGGCAACGCGAAGAACCUUACCAGACCUUGACAUGCCUCUCGCGGAUUUCAGAGAUGAUUUCCUUCAGUUCGGCUGGAGAGUGCACAGGUGCUGCAUGGCUGUCGUCAGCUCGUGUCGUGAGAUGUUGGGUUAAGUCCCGCAACGAGCGCAACCCUCAUCCUUAGUUGCUACCAUUUAGUUGGGCACUCUAAGGAAACUGCCUGGGUCAACCAGGAGGAAGGUGGGGAUGACGUCAAGUCUUCAUGGCCCUUAUGGUCUGGGCUACACACGUGCUACAAUGGCAGUGACAAUGAGCAGCGACCCCGCGAGGGUGAGCUAAUCUCCGAAA
This 489-nucleotide ribosomal RNA is filed under the name uncultured bacterium. RNAcentral's name for it is "bacterial SSU rRNA". It matches the Rfam family "Bacterial small subunit ribosomal RNA", at positions 791 to 1280 of the family's 1533-position model. The record is from RNAcentral.